AAUAUUUUUUUUGUAAUGAGUGAAAGCCUGGCAAAUUAACGAGGUAGAAGGCCUACAAAUUAACUUCUUUUCCCGGAGAAGAAGCAAUAGGAAUAAGUAUUGCCUAAUUCUGUGCCAGCAACUGCGAUAAUAUAAAAAGAUGCGAGCGUUAUCUGAAAUGAUUGGGUGUAAAACGUAUAUAGAUGGCUUUUUUAAGUCCACCGUCAAAUUCCAGAGCUCGAUCCUGGAUAGACGGUGGAACUGCAAGUUAGAAUACAGUAGGGGCAAAGGAAAUUUUUGGUGGAGUGAUGAAAUGUGUAAAGAUCGGAAAGAACACCAACAACGAAAGCACUCUAUUAGAUCGGCACUUGUACAAGAUAUAUACACC
This 367-nucleotide non-coding RNA is filed under the name Ricinus communis (castor bean). Its description in RNAcentral is "Bacterial small subunit ribosomal RNA". It matches the Rfam family "Bacterial small subunit ribosomal RNA", at positions 356 to 761 of the family's 1533-position model. The record is from Rfam by way of RNAcentral. Lineage: Eukaryota; Viridiplantae; Streptophyta; Magnoliopsida; Malpighiales; Euphorbiaceae.